GAUGAACGCUGGCGGCGUGCCUAAUACAUGCAAGUCGAGCGAACAGAGGUGGUUCUUGUUCCAACUGGGUGAGCAGCGGACGGGUGAGUAACACGUGGGGAACCUGCCUAUAAGCGGGGGACAACUUCGGGAAACGAGUGCUAAUACCGGAUAAAAAAUUGAACCACAGGGUUGAAUAGUGAAAGAUGCACUUGCUGCCACCAAAAGAGAUCCCCCGGCCGAUUAGCUAGGUGGUGAGGUAAAGGCUUACCAAGGCAAAGAUCCGUAGCCGACCUGGGAGGGUGUCAGUCCCCCGUGGAACUGGGUCACGGCCCACACUCCUACGGGGGCCCGCCGUAGGGACCUUCGGGCAAUGGCCGAAAGCCUGACGGAGCAACGCGCGGUAGGUUAAGAAGGUCUUGGGACCGUAAAAUUCUUUGAUUAGGGAAGACGAACUUGGUAAGUCACUGCGCACGUAUUGACGGUACCUACGCAGAAAGCCACGGCUAACUACGUG
This 496-nucleotide ribosomal RNA is filed under the name uncultured bacterium. Its description in RNAcentral is "partial 16S ribosomal RNA". It matches the Rfam family "Bacterial small subunit ribosomal RNA", at positions 28 to 507 of the family's 1533-position model. The record is from RNAcentral.